RNAcentral lists this ribosomal RNA (253 nucleotides) under uncultured bacterium. RNAcentral describes it as "partial 16S ribosomal RNA". It matches the Rfam family "Bacterial small subunit ribosomal RNA", at positions 524 to 776 of the family's 1533-position model. The record is from RNAcentral.
UACGUAGGGUGCGAGCGUGUCCGGAAUUAUUGGGCGUAAAGAGCUCGUAGGUGGUGUGUCGCGUCUGCCGUGAAAGCCCGGGCUUAACUCCGGUCGCGGGUGGAUACGGGCAGGCUUGAGUUCGGUAGGGGAGACUGGAAUUCCGUGGUGGUAGCGGUGAAAUUGCGCAGAUAUCAGGAAGAACACCCGUGGCUAAGGCGGCUCUCUAGUACGGUACUGACGCUGAGACGCGAAAGCGUGGGGAGCGAACAGG